This 1994-nucleotide ribosomal RNA is filed under the name Clostridioides difficile. RNAcentral's name for it is "partial 23S ribosomal RNA". It matches the Rfam family "Bacterial large subunit ribosomal RNA", at positions 683 to 2694 of the family's 2925-position model. The record is from RNAcentral. Lineage: Bacteria; Bacillati; Bacillota; Clostridia; Peptostreptococcales; Peptostreptococcaceae.
UUUAACUGAGCGUUCAGUUACUUGACGUAGACCCGAAACCGGGCGACCUACCCAUGAGCAGGAUGAAGCGAAAGUAAAAUUUCGUGGAGGUCCGAACCCACGAGCGUUGAAAAGCUCGGGGAUGACUUGUGGGUAGCGGUGAAAUUCCAAUCGAGCCCGGAGAUAGCUGGUUCUCCCCGAAAUAGCUUUAGGGCUAGCCUCAAGGUGAGAGAUACGGAGGUAGAGCACUGAAUGUCCUAGGGGGUAUUGCACCUACCGAAGACUAUCAAACUCCGAAUGCCGUCAUCUUAUACUUGGGAGUCAGACUGUGGGUGAUAAGAUUCAUAGUCGAAAGGGCAACAGCCCAGAUCGUCAGCUAAGGUCCCUAAAUGUAAGUUAAGUGGUAAAGGAUGUGGGAUUGCACAGACAACCAGGAUGUUGGCUUAGAAGCAGCCACUCAUUCAAAGAGUGCGUAAUAGCUCACUGGUCGAGUGAUCCUGCGCCGAAGAUUUCCGGGGCUAAAACUUACUACCGAAGCUACGGCAUCAGUAAUGAUGGGUAGGGGAGCUUCCCAUACGGGUUGAAGCAUGACCGUAAGGACAUGUGGACAGUAUGGGAGUGAGAAUGUUGGCAUGAGUAGCGAGAUGUGGGUGAGAAUCCCACAGGCCGUAAACCCAAGGUUUCCAGGGGAAGGUUCGUCCGCCCUGGGUUAGUCGGGACCUAAGCUGAGGCCGAAAGGCGUAGGUGAUGGACAACAGGUUGAUAUUCCUGUACUACCGAUAACCGUUUGAGAGAAGGGAUGACACAGUAGGAUAAGCUAAGCACACUGUUGGUUAUGUGUGCCCAAGCAUUGAGGCAGUCAAAGUAGGCAAAUCCGCUUUGAUAAUGCUGGGAUGUGAUGGGGAGCGAAAUUUAGUAGCGAAGUAGCUGAUUUCACACUGUCAAGAAAAGUCUCUAUCGAGGUUAAAGGUACCCGUACCGCAAACCGACACAGGUGGGUGAGGAGAGUAUCCUAAGGCCAGCGAGAGAACUGUUGUUAAGGAACUCGGCAAAAUGACCCCGUAACUUAGGGAUAAGGGGUGCCACCAUCAGGUGGCCGCAGAGAAUAGGCCCAAGCGACUGUUUACCAAAAACAUAGGUUUCUGCUAAGUCGCAAGACGAUGUAUAGGAGCUGACGCCUGCCCGGUGCUGGAAGGUUAAGGGGAUCUGUUAGAGCAAUCGAAGCAGUGAACUUAAGCCCCAGUAAACGGCGGCCGUAACUAUAACGGUCCUAAGGUAGCGAAAUUCCUUGUCGGGUAAGUUCCGACCCGCACGAAAGGCGUAACGAUUUGGGCACUGUCUCAACAACAGACUCGGUGAAAUUGUAAUUCCGGUGAAGAUGCCGGAUACCUGCGACAGGACGGAAAGACCCCAUGGAGCUUUACUGUAGCUUGACAUUGGGUCUUGGUACUACAUGUACAGGAUAGGUGGGAGGCUUUGAAACCAGGACGCCAGUUUUGGCGGAGCCAUCCUUGGGAUACCACCCUUGUAGUACUGGGACUCUAACCAUAGGCCAUGAAUCUGGUCUUGGGACACUGUCAGGUGGGCAGUUUGACUGGGGCGGUCGCCUCCCAAAAGGUAACGGAGGCGCUCAAAGGUUCUCUCAGUACGGUCGGAAAUCGUACGUAGAGUGUAAAGGCAAAAGAGAGCUUGAUUGCAAGACAUACAGGUCGAGCAAGGAUGAAAAUCGGACUUAGUGAUCCGGUGGUUCUGCGUGGAAGGGCCAUCGCUCAACGGAUAAAAGCUACCCUGGGGAUAACAGGCUUAUCUCCCCCAAGAGUCCACAUCGACGGGGAGGUUUGGCACCUCGAUGUCGGCUCAUCACAUCCUGGGGCUGUAGUAGGUCCCAAGGGUUGGGCUGUUCGCCCAUUAAAGUGGUACGCGAGCUGGGUUCAGAACGUCGUGAGACAGUUCGGUCCCUAUCCGUCGCAGGCGUAGGAAAUUUGAGAAGACCUGUCCUUAGUACGAGAGGACCG